The sequence is a ribosomal RNA, 1655 nucleotides long. It matches the Rfam family "Bacterial large subunit ribosomal RNA", at positions 116 to 1775 of the family's 2925-position model. The record is from Rfam.
GAAUGAGGGAACUCAGCAUCUUUAACAGGAUGUUACCAUAUACUGAAUUCAUAGGUAUAUGGGGGGAACCCGGUGAACUGAAACAUCUAAGUAGCCGGAGGAAAGGAAAACAAAAGUGAUUCUCCUAGUAGCGGCGAGCGAACGGGGAAGAGGCCAAACCGGAAGUCUUCGGACAUCCGGGGUUGUGGACCCAUAUAAUCGAUCUGACGAAUAUAGUUGAAUAGCAUUGGAAAGUGCAGCCAAAGAGGGUAAAAGCCCCGUAAACGAAAUACGAGUUAGCGAGAUGGGCACCAGAGUACCACGGGACACGUGAAACCCCGUGGGAAGCCGGGAGGACCACCUUCCAAGCCUAAAUAUUCCUUGAUGACCGAUAGAGAAAUAGUACCGUGAGGGAAAGGUGAAAAGCACCCCGGGAGGGGAGUGAAAGAGAACCUGAAACCUUGUGCUUACAAGCAGUGGGGGCACUAUUAGAAAGUGUGACCACGUACUUUUUGUAGAACGGGCCAGCGAGUUACGGUAUGCAGCGAGGUUAAGUGACUGGAGUCACGGAGCCGAAGGGAGACCGAGUCUUAAUAGGGCGUUAAGUUGCAUGCUGUAGACCCGAAACCGGGCGACCUACCCAUGAGCAGGUUGAAGCGGUGGUAAAACACCGUGGAGGACCGAACCACACGUAUGUUGAAAAAUGCGGGGAUGACUUGUGGGUAGCGGAGAAAUUCCAAUCGAGCUCGGAGAUAGCUGGUUCUCCUCGAAAUAGCUUUAGGGCUAGCCUCGAGUGAAGAUAUAUGGGGGUAGAGCACUGAAUGGGCUAAGGGGCUUCACGGCUUACUGAACCUUAUCAAACUCCGAAUACCAUAUAUUACCUACUCGGGAGUCAGACAGCGUGAGAUAAGUUUCGUUGUCGAAAGGGAAACAGCCCAGAUCAUCAACUAAGGUCCCAAAGUGUAAGUUAAGUGGAAAAGGAUGUGGAAUUGCAGAGACAACUAGGAUGUUGGCUCAGAAGCAGCCACUCAUUUAAAGAGUGCGUAACAGCUCACUAGUCGAGUGAUUGUGCGCCGAAAAUGUCCGGGGCUAAAACUUACCACCGAAGUUAUGGGUGCGCAGUAAUGCGCGCGGUAGAGGAGCAUCGUAUACGGGCAGAAGCUGUACCGAGAGGAGCAGUGGACUGUAUACGAGAGAGAAUGCUGGCAUAAGUAGCGAGAGUGAGGUGAGAAUCCUCACCGUCGAAAGCCUAAGGUUUCCUGGGGAAGGCUCGUCCGCCCAGGGUAAGUCGGGACCUAAGCCGAGGACAGUAUAGUCGUAGGCGAUGGACAACAGGUUGAUAUUCCUGUACUACCGACUGGUCGUUUGACUGACGCAGUGACACAGGAGGAUAGCAGAAGCGGGCUGAUGGUAGAGCCCGUCUAAGCACUGAGGUUUGCAAGGUAGUGAAGUACGCCUUGCUUUAAGACUGAGGUGUGAUGGGGACAGAAAAUAAGUAUGGAAGUCUGUGAAUCCACACUGGCGAGAAAAGCUGCUAGGAAGACCAGUAGGUACCCGUACCGCAAACCGACACAGGUAGGCGAGGAGAGAAUCCUAAGACGAUCGGGAGAAGCAUUGUUAAGGAACUCGGCAAAAUGACUCCGUAACUUCGGGAUAAGGAGUGCCUAGUAAAAUAG